AAUCCAAGUAUAGGAAAUUUCCUAAGCAAAUCUUUGAACCUUUCCAAUACUUCAUAUAGUGUUUCAUCCUCUAGUUGCUUGAAGGAUGUUAUGUCAUUUCUUAGUUU
This is a non-coding RNA of Gossypium raimondii (Peruvian cotton), 107 nucleotides long. The record is from Rfam. NCBI's taxonomy places the organism in Eukaryota, Viridiplantae, Streptophyta, Magnoliopsida, Malvales, Malvaceae.